AGCAGCCGCGGUAAUUCCAGCUCCAAUAGCGUAUAUUAAAGUUGCUGCAGUUAAAAAGCUCGUAGUUGAAUUUCGGGAUCAAUAUGUUGGUCGUGCCUUGGUACGUACUAGCUUAUUGAUUUCUUCCUUCUGAUGAACCAUGAUGUCAUUAAUUUGGUGUCAUGGGGAAUCAGGACUGUUACUUUGAAAAAUUAGAGUGUUUAAAGCAGGCUAACGCUUGAAUACAUUAGCAUGGAAUAAUGAAAUAGGACGUUUGAUUCUAUUUUGUUGGUUUCUAGGAUCGACGUAAUGAUUAAUAGGGAUAGUUGGGGGCAUUAGUAUUCAAUUGUCAGAGGUGAAAUUCUUGGAUUUAUUGAAGACUAACUACUGCGAAAGCAAUUUGCCAAGGAUGUUUUCAUUAAUCAAGAACGAAAGUUAGGGGAUCGAAGACGAUCAGAUACCGUCGUAGUCUUAACCAUAAACUAUGCCGACUAGGGAUCGGAUGAUGUAAUUUUUAAUGACU
This 502-nucleotide ribosomal RNA is filed under the name uncultured Glomus. RNAcentral describes it as "SSU rRNA". It matches the Rfam family "Eukaryotic small subunit ribosomal RNA", at positions 569 to 1076 of the family's 1831-position model. The record is from RNAcentral. Lineage: Eukaryota; Fungi; Glomeromycota; Glomeromycetes; Glomerales; Glomeraceae.